This 921-nucleotide ribosomal RNA is filed under the name Bacillus sp. BM-g. RNAcentral's name for it is "bacterial SSU rRNA". It matches the Rfam family "Bacterial small subunit ribosomal RNA", at positions 36 to 941 of the family's 1533-position model. The record is from RNAcentral. Lineage: Bacteria; Bacillati; Bacillota; Bacilli; Caryophanales; Bacillaceae.
AUAGUUAGGCCUACAAGAUACGUGCAGUCUAGCGGACCGACGGGAGCUUGCUCCCUUAGGUCAGCGGCGGACGGGUGAGUAACACGUGGGUAACCUGCCUGUAAGACUGGGAUAACUCCGGGAAACCGGGGCUAAUACCGGAUGCUUGAUUGAACCGCAUGGUUCAAUCAUAAAAGGUGGCUUUUAGCUACCACUUACAGAUGGACCCGCGGCGCAUUAGCUAGUUGGUGAGGUAACGGCUCACCAAGGCGACGAUGCGUAGCCGACCUGAGAGGGUGAUCGGCCACACUGGGACUGAAACACGGCCCAAACUCCUACGGGAGGCAGCAGUAGGGAAUCUUCCGCAAUGGACGAAAGUCUGACGGAGCAACGCCGCGUGAGUGAUGAAGGUUUUCGGAUCGUAAAACUCUGUUGUUAGGGAAGAACAAGUACCGUUCGAAUAGGGCGGUACCUUGACGGUACCUAACCAGAAAGCCACGGCUAACUACGUGCCAGCAGCCGCGGUAAUACGUAGGUGGCAAGCGUUGUCCGGAAUUAUUGGGCGUAAAGCGCGCGCAGGCGGUUUCUUAAGUCUGAUGUGAAAGCCCCCGGCUCAACCGGGGAGGGUCAUUGGAAACUGGGGAACUUGAGUGCAGAAGAGGAGAGUGGAAUUCCACGUGUAGCGGUGAAAUGCGUAGAGAUGUGGAGGAACACCAGUGGCGAAGGCGACUCUCUGGUCUGUAACUGACGCUGAGGCGCGAAAGCGUGGGGAGCGAACAGGAUUAGAUACCCUGGUAGUCCACGCCGUAAACGAUGAGUGCUAAGUGUUAGAGGGUUUCCGCCCUUUAGUGCUGCAGCAACGCAUUAGCACUCCGCCUGGGGAGUACGGUCGCAGACUGAAACUCAAAGGAAUUGACGGGGCCCGCACAGCGGUGGAGCAGA